Molecule: small nuclear RNA, 102 nt
Organism: Salvia splendens (bonfire salvia)
Lineage: Eukaryota; Viridiplantae; Streptophyta; Magnoliopsida; Lamiales; Lamiaceae
Source: RefSeq, a predicted model, not a curated record
GUCCCUUAGGGGACAUCUGAUAAAAUUGAUACGGUACAAAAAGAUCGAUAUGGCCUACGUACAUGGAUGACACACAUAAAUCGAAAAAGAAAUUAUUAAUCU